Transfer RNA from Exophiala xenobiotica, 124 nucleotides. It matches the Rfam family "tRNA". Rfam says of the family: Transfer RNA (tRNA) molecules are approximately 80 nucleotides in length. The record is from Rfam. NCBI's taxonomy places the organism in Eukaryota, Fungi, Ascomycota, Eurotiomycetes, Chaetothyriales, Herpotrichiellaceae.
UCCCCUGUGGCGCAAUUGGCUAGCGCGUCAGACUGUUAAUCAACCAGGUUGUGCAGUUGUGCACGAACUGAGGCUGUUAAUCAGGCAAAUCUGGAGGCUGGAAGUUCGAGCCUUCCCGGGGGAG